This 253-nucleotide ribosomal RNA is filed under the name uncultured bacterium. RNAcentral's name for it is "partial 16S ribosomal RNA". It matches the Rfam family "Bacterial small subunit ribosomal RNA", at positions 524 to 776 of the family's 1533-position model. The record is from RNAcentral.
UACGUAGGGGGCGAGCGUUGUCCGGAGUUACUGGGCGUAAAGGGCUCGUAGGUGGCCAACUAAGUCAGACGUGAAAUCCCUCGGCUUAACCGGGGAACUGCGUCUGAUACUGGAUGGCUUGAGUUUGGGAGAGGGACGCGGAAUUCCAGGUGUAGCGGUGAAAUGCGUAGAUAUCUGGAGGAACACCGGUGGCGAAGGCGGCGUCCUGGACCAACACUGACACUGAUGAGCGAAAGCCAGGGGAGCAAACGGG